GUUCACCCUUGUUCUCACCAAAUUCGCCCAAUUGACUAGGAAAAAUCGAUGUUUAUCAACUGCAUGUAGUGAAAAUUCGAACAUCUACCCAUACCCGGUGAUGUGGUGUGAAGGAAGAAAGUUCAAACUCUAAGAAACCGGAAGGAUCACAAGACCGAGGUAAAACUCCACUUUAGGCGAUUUGGAGAUAUGGAGCGAGCACAUGUUCAAGCCUUAUUAUACCAAGCGCUUCCGCUAGUUUAUAUGCAUACUUUUUGGGUCCAUGUCUUGUAGUUUUGUUUAAUCUUGUUAGAAGUUUACACUUGAAAACUUGUUGUCUUUGUUUGGGGUAGUUUAAAGUUAAAUGG
Helianthus annuus (common sunflower) is the source of this 347-nucleotide long non-coding RNA. RefSeq lists it as uncharacterized. Lineage: Eukaryota; Viridiplantae; Streptophyta; Magnoliopsida; Asterales; Asteraceae. The transcript is spliced from 3 exons. The record is from RefSeq and is a predicted model, not a curated record.